Molecule: ribosomal RNA, 495 nt
Filed under: uncultured bacterium
Lineage: Bacteria
Description: partial 16S ribosomal RNA
Rfam family: Bacterial small subunit ribosomal RNA
Source: RNAcentral
GACGAACGCUGGCGGCGUGCCUAAUACAUGCAAGUAGAACGCUGAAGGAGGAGCUUGCUUCUCUGGAUGAGUUGCGAACGGGUGAGUAACGCGUAGGUAACCUGCCUGGUAGCGGGGGAUAACUAUUGGAAACGAUAGCUAAUACCGCAUAAUAGUAGAUGUUGCAUGACAUUUACUUAAAAGGUGCAAUUGCAUCACUACCAGAUGGACCUGCGUUGUAUUAGCUAGUUGGUGGGGUAACGGCUCACCAAGGCGACGAUACAUAGCCGACCUGAGAGGGUGAUCGGCCACACUGGGACUGAGACACGGCCCUGACUCCUACGGGAGGCAGCAGUAGGGAAUCUUCGGCAAUGGACGAAAGUCUGGCCGAGCAACGCCGCGUGAGUGAAGAAGGUUUUCGGAUCGUAAAGCUCUGUUGUAAGAGAAGAACGAGUGUGAGAGUGGAAAGUUCACACUGUGACGGUAGCUUACCAGAAAGGGACGGCUAACUACGUG